GACGAACGCUGGCGGCGUGCUUAACACAUGCAAGUCGAACGGAAAGGCCCUGCUUUUGUGGGGUGCUCGAUUGGCGAACGGGUGAGUAACACGUGAGUAACCUGCCCUUGACUUUGGGAUAACUUCAGGAAACUGGGGCUAAUACCGGAUAUGAGCUCCUGCUGCAUGGUGUGGGUUGGAAAGUUUCGGCGUUUGGGGAUGUACUCGCGGCUUAUCAGCUUGUUGGUGGGGUAGUGGCUUACCAAGGCUUUGACGGGUAGCCGGCCUGAGAGGGUGACCGGCCACAUUGGGACUGAGAUACGGCCCAGACUCCUACGGGAGGCAGCAGUGGGGAAUAUUGCACAAUGGGCGGAAGCCUGAUGCAGCAACGCCGCGUGCGGGAUGACGGCCUUCGGGUUGUAAACCGCUUUCGCCUGUGACGAAGCGUGAGUGACGGUAAUGGGUAAAGAAGCACCGGCUAACUACGUG
Molecule: ribosomal RNA, 468 nt
Filed under: uncultured bacterium
Lineage: Bacteria
Description: partial 16S ribosomal RNA
Rfam family: Bacterial small subunit ribosomal RNA
Source: RNAcentral